This 2951-nucleotide unclassified non-coding RNA is filed under the name Neodiprion pinetum (white pine sawfly). RNAcentral describes it as "g-protein coupled receptor Mth2-like, transcript variant X4". The record is from RNAcentral. Lineage: Eukaryota; Metazoa; Arthropoda; Insecta; Hymenoptera; Diprionidae.
AAUUCCGUCGAGCCAAGGACAGCUGAUUUCCCCUGAAAUGUAAUAUAACAAUACAUAACACGCGAGGUGUGAAGCGCAAGGGUUAAACAUUCAAUACUGCGAUUCAUGCGUCAGGCGUGAUAAGAAAAAUGGCUCGUGAAUCGCGGGGGAGUCGCGUGCGUGUAUCUUCGUGUUAUUACCGCCGUUACGUACGUGCAAUUAAAAAUACAUCUGUACACCUGUACACGUGUAUAUUACAUAGGUAUAUAAACUGCUGUAUUGUAUAUCCGUGUCCGGAUUGGCUCGAAAAACGCGAAGGCGCUAAGAGGAAAAACCGUGUCUGUCGGUAGGAGUGGUGGGGAUUGAUCACGUGUCUGUUGUUCGAAACUUGUUCAACUAGCGAUCCUCCGGCGAUUUUAAUCCCAGUUCGGUUCGAGACGCCGGCCGAAAACGAUCGACGCGUAAGCAUCGGAGCUGCUGCGAAACUGUAACAAGCAGCGAUCAAUUCGCCGAAAUAACUGUAUCUUGAAGAUUUUAUUCUACGUUAUCGUCGUCGUCGUCUUUGUCGAAUAAGCAUAUUUCGUUAGCGGUGCACGACGGCAGUGUUUGUUUGUUUGUUUUUUUUUUUUUUUUUGUUUUAUUUAUUUUUCUCUCUCCUUUCGUCCGUCCAAUCGGCGUACAAGAUUCUUUCAUUCGUGAAAGCGCGCAAGCGCGCGCUGAGAUCCGGUAACCGGAAAUAAGUCAGAACAAUCGACGGAGGAAUUUGGACAAAUAAGAGAAUGGUGCAACCGCGGGAUAAGAAUUAUCGAGUAUUGGAAUAUCGAGUAGGGUAAAUAUAUAUAAUACAGCCGAAAGAAGAGUGAGAGGAGUAAUAAAAAAAAAAAUUUUUCAAUAACAAGAAAAAAACAGCCGGAAAUCGGUAAUUUCGAAUCUCAGUUUUCCCGCGUAAUAUAAUGAUUAUCGAUUUUUUUUUUUUUUUUUUUUCAAUGACAAUGUAAUUAUUCCGAAUUGUGAUAACGCGAGGAAGACGUAGUUCUUCGGAAAAUAAACAUCGUCGAUUGUGUUUGUGGUGAAAUUAUAUCGGUUUCAGUUUGUUUGUUUUUUUUUUUUUUUGUCAGUGAAGAAAAAAAAUAAGAUACCUUUAAUUAAAAGCAGUGAAAAUGUUUCGACUGUGGUUCGUCAUCCUAGCCUGCAGUUUCUGCUUUGAAAUAUCAGUUUCAUCGGCUAAGGAGCCGGUGAUCAUAUCAUUCAACCUGACGACUUUUGGCGGUGACAUCGAGAGGAUUAAAUCUCUGCACAACACCAGCUGGCCCCUUGUUGGAAAGUGCUGCCCGGUUGGUCAAUUGUAUCGUUUUAACGAUGAUGAUAAUCCGGGUGAAAAUCGAUGCGAAGACCCGCGACCGAACGAGAAAAACGAGUACUCACCGUUCUUCAGCGACUUCAAUCAUUCCGGACUGUUGGUUCCAGGAUUGAGUCAACCCCAAUUCGUCGCGGUCAUCGGAAUACCUUGCCGACAUGGAAAGUACAUAAUGGAUCCGUUGACGAUAGCGGAGGACGAGUAUCACCUCAUGAUGAACGGGAGCGUUUUCACGCCGCUGAAUAACGUGCGGAUGCUUCAACCUGGUCAAGACUACUGCAUGGAGGUCGUGUCCGAUGGAAGAUUGGUCGUCAUGGGCUGCUACCAGCCAGAACUUAAAGUAGUUACAGCGGACACGCGGCUCGCUAUGUACGCAAUCGGUCUCCUGAUUUCGGUGCCAUUUCUCCUGGCGACGAUCAUCUCGUACGUGAUAACGCGGCAGAUCUGCGACGUACAUGGCAUGAAUCUAUGCUGCUACUCCGGAUGUCUUGCUGUGGCUUUUCUCACCCUGGCGUUACUACAGCUUGGUGGACAGUCGUUCGAUCAGAACGCUUGCGUAUCGGCAGCGUUCGUCAUACAGUUCUCCUUCAUUGCCUGCUCCUUUUGGCUCAACGCUAUGACCGUCGAAAGUUGGCGACUUAUUCGAGGGUACAAAGCAGGCUCCCCUCCGCUCACUAGUGAGCGCAGCCCUCCACUCUACAGAGUAUUCUUUUUCUACUCAAUUUGGGGAUGGGGACUUUCCGCCGUUCUCAUCGUUGUCUCUUUGGCUCUGGGUCUCAAUCCGACGAUACCGUGGACCUACGUCAAAAGAUCCGGAAACGAGCAGCCGAGCUGCUGGUUUGGUUGGUGAGCUGCCCUCUGAAAGAAGACAUUUGGAUUCGCAGACAUCGUUGUGUACAAAUUUCCAGCAUCCUCCGGUCUCAGAUACAUCCCCGGCGGCAAUUGAACAAAAGUAUCAACGGGUCCUGAACGCAAAUCUGCAAACAAAUUGAUACCCGAUGUAAAAAUUAUGGACUGGAUAUGAAUGGAAAAACCACUUUUGAAACUCGCAAAUAACAGAAAUGUGGAACUACCAACGCGGAAAGAACUAUGUCUAAUACUUCUAAUACAGCUGUGUGUGUGCAAUGCGCGUAUAGCGGUAUGCACGGCUGCUGCCCCUCAAAAAUGCUUGUUUCCGUUUCAUAAUCUCACGACGAUUCUUGUACAUCUCUACGGUUUGACGGGUAACCGCACAUGAAACAACAUUCCGUGUGCAGAGUCGACUAUAAUACGACUAUGACUAAAAUAUUUCAGCGUCUAUGUAUAAAAUGACAUAGCUAUAUGGAUGACGAAAGGUUUAUGCAUUAUUGCUGCAACAUUGAUGCAUACGCAUGCAUACCUUCAGGGUAAAGUUGAUUAGCACUGCAUCUACACGCUGUACAGUUUGGAAUACCAGAAGACACCAGGGCAACACGGGCAGCAUUUUAGACUCCAGAGUAUCAUUUGGCGGUUUGAAGUGAAAGAAGGAUGGUGAGUACCCGCUGGCCGGCAGCGAACUGAGCCCGUCAUCCCUAUCGUGUGGAUUGCCACGAGUAACAACAGUGGCGUUUUCUCUUCCAAGGGCAGCGAGCUGUCG